Non-coding RNA from Echinostoma caproni, 45 nucleotides. The record is from Rfam. NCBI's taxonomy places the organism in Eukaryota, Metazoa, Platyhelminthes, Trematoda, Plagiorchiida, Echinostomatidae.
GCACCGCUGACGAGUCCCAAACGGGAUGAAACAGCUGUCCAGUGC